RNAcentral lists this ribosomal RNA (253 nucleotides) under uncultured bacterium. Its description in RNAcentral is "partial 16S ribosomal RNA". It matches the Rfam family "Bacterial small subunit ribosomal RNA", at positions 524 to 776 of the family's 1533-position model. The record is from RNAcentral.
UACAGGGGGUGCAAACGUUGCUCGGAAUUAUUGGGCGUAAAGCGCACGUAGGCGGUUCGUUAUGUCAGAUGUGAAAGCCCUUGGCUCAACUGAGGAAGUGCAUCUGAAACUGGCGAGCUAGAGUAUGUAAGAGGGUCGCGGAAUUCCCGGUGUAGAGGUGAAAUUCGUAGAUAUCGGGAGGAACACCGGUGGCGAAGGCGGCGACCUGGGUCGAUACUGACGCUGAGGUGCGAAAGCGUGGGGAGCAAACAGG